Molecule: ribosomal RNA, 370 nt
Filed under: uncultured bacterium
Lineage: Bacteria
Description: bacterial SSU rRNA
Rfam family: Bacterial small subunit ribosomal RNA
Source: RNAcentral
GUAGGGUGCGAGCGUUAAUCGGAAUUACUGGGCGUAAAGCGUGCGCAGGCGGUUUUGUAAGCCAGAUGUGAAAGCCCCGGGCUUAACCUGGGAAUGGCAUUUGGGACUGCAAGGCUGGAGUGUGGCAGAGGAGACUGGAAUUCCUGGUGUAGCAGUGAAAUGCGUAGAUAUCAGGAGGAAUACCGAUGGCGAAGGCAGGUCUCUGGGCUGACACUGACGCUCAUGCACGAAAGCGUGGGGAGCAAACAGGAUUAGAUACCCUGGUAGUCCACGCCCUAAACGAUGUCGACUGGUUGUUGGGGGUUUGACACUCUCAGUAACGAAGCUAACGCGUGAAGUCGACCGCCUGGGGAGUACGGCCGCAAGGUUA